UGGGGAAUAUUGCACAAUGGGCGAAAGCCUGAUGCAGCAACGCCGCGUGCGGGAUGACGGCCUUCGGGUUGUAAACCGCUUUCAGCAGGGACGAAGGUUUUCUGACGGUACCUGCAGAAGAAGCACCGGCUAACUACGUGCCAGCAGCCGCGGUGAUACGUAGGGUGCGAGCGUUGUCCGGAAUUAUUGGGCGUAAAGAGCUUGUAGGCGGUCCGUUGCGUCGGAAGUGAAAACUCAGGGCUUAACCCUGAGCCUGCUUUCGAUACGGGCGGACUUGAGGGAUGUAGGGGAGAACGGAAUUCCUGGUGGAGCGGUGGAAUGCGCAGAUAUCAGGAGGAACACCAGUGGCGAAGGCGGUUCUCUGGACAUUUCCUGACGCUGAGAAGCGAAAGCGUGGGGAGCAAAACAGGCUUAGAUACCCUGGUAGUCCACGCCGUAAACGGUGGGCACUAGGUGUGGGACCCAUUCCACGGGUUCCGUGCCGUAGCUAACGCAUUAAGUGCCCCGCCU
This 510-nucleotide ribosomal RNA is filed under the name uncultured bacterium. Its description in RNAcentral is "partial 16S ribosomal RNA". It matches the Rfam family "Bacterial small subunit ribosomal RNA", at positions 355 to 874 of the family's 1533-position model. The record is from RNAcentral.